Molecule: transfer RNA, 84 nt
Filed under: Fidelibacterota bacterium
Lineage: Bacteria; Pseudomonadati; Fidelibacterota
Description: tRNA-Trp
Source: RNAcentral
GUGGGUGCGCAUUUGGUGAGCAAAGCGGUCUCCAAAACCGUGUCUGUAAUGGACUUGAGGGUUCGACUCCCUACACCCGCGCCA